This 374-nucleotide ribosomal RNA is filed under the name uncultured organism. Its description in RNAcentral is "bacterial SSU rRNA". It matches the Rfam family "Bacterial small subunit ribosomal RNA", at positions 526 to 896 of the family's 1533-position model. The record is from RNAcentral.
CGGGGGGAGCAAGCGUUGUUCGGAUUUACUGGGCGUAAAGGGCGCGUAGGCGGCGCAACAAGUCACUUGUGAAAUCUCCGGGCUUAACCCGGAGCGGCCAAGUGAUACUGUCGUGCUGGAGUGCGGAAGGGGCUACUGGAAUUCUCGGUGUAGCGGUGAAAUGCGUAGAUAUCGAGAGGAACACCUGCGGCGAAGGCGGGUAGCUGGGCCGACACUGACGCUGAUGCGCGAAAGCCAGGGGAGCGAACGGGAUUAGAUACCCCCGGUAGUCCUGGCCUUAAACGAUGGAUACUUGGUGUCCGGGGUUACAUAGUCCCCGGGUGCCGGCGCUAACGCAUUAAGUAUCCCGCCUGGGGAGUACGGUCGCAAGACUG